CGAAGUAGCUCAGGGGUAGAGCAACUGAUUCGUAAUCAGUAGGUCGGAGGUUCAAUUCCUCUCUUCGGC
Molecule: transfer RNA, 69 nt
Filed under: marine eukaryotic metagenome
Rfam family: tRNA
About the family: Transfer RNA (tRNA) molecules are approximately 80 nucleotides in length. Their secondary structure includes four short double-helical elements and three loops (D, anti-codon, and T loops). Further hydrogen bonds mediate the characteristic L-shaped molecular structure. tRNAs have two regions of fundamental functional importance: the anti-codon, which is responsible for specific mRNA codon recognition, and the 3' end, to which the tRNAs corresponding amino acid is attached (by aminoacyl-tRNA synthetases). tRNAs cope with the degeneracy of the genetic code in two manners: having more than one tRNA (with a specific anti-codon) for a particular amino acid; and 'wobble' base-pairing, i.e. permitting non-standard base-pairing at the 3rd anti-codon position.
Source: RNAcentral